RNAcentral lists this ribosomal RNA (206 nucleotides) under uncultured bacterium. RNAcentral's name for it is "partial 16S ribosomal RNA". It matches the Rfam family "Bacterial small subunit ribosomal RNA", at positions 568 to 774 of the family's 1533-position model. The record is from RNAcentral.
CGUGUAGCCGGGCCGACAAGUCAGAUGUGAAAUCCGCGGGCUUAACCCGCGAACUGCAUUUGAAACUGUUGGUCUUGAGUAUCGGAGAGGUAAUCGGAAUUCCUAGUGUAGCGGUGAAAUGCGUAGAUAUUCGCAAGAACACCAGUGGCGAAGGCGGCUCACUGGGCCAUUACUGACGCUGAGGCACGAAAGCGUGGGAGCAAACA